Molecule: transfer RNA, 84 nt
Rfam family: tRNA
About the family: Transfer RNA (tRNA) molecules are approximately 80 nucleotides in length. Their secondary structure includes four short double-helical elements and three loops (D, anti-codon, and T loops). Further hydrogen bonds mediate the characteristic L-shaped molecular structure. tRNAs have two regions of fundamental functional importance: the anti-codon, which is responsible for specific mRNA codon recognition, and the 3' end, to which the tRNAs corresponding amino acid is attached (by aminoacyl-tRNA synthetases). tRNAs cope with the degeneracy of the genetic code in two manners: having more than one tRNA (with a specific anti-codon) for a particular amino acid; and 'wobble' base-pairing, i.e. permitting non-standard base-pairing at the 3rd anti-codon position.
GCCCUGGUGGCGGAAUUGGUAGACGCGCUGGUUUCAGGUGCCAGUGGCCGCAAGGCUGUAGGGGUUCGAGUCCCUUCCAGGGCA